CGGGGUGCACCAGGAGCGAAUACUCUACAAUGCUUGCAACUGCAAUUCGGGAGACAUCUAGUGAUACUCAUCUUGGGUGUCUGUCCUCCCGUCUAAAAAACGGGAGUAUACCAAGGGCCGGGCAAUACCGGUGCCAACCGCCGCGGUAAUACCGGCGGCUCGAGUGGUGGCCUAUAUUAUUGAGUCUAAAGGGUCCGUACCCGGAUUUGCAAGUCUUUUGGGAAAUCCAUCGGCUUAACCGUUGAGUCCUCCGGGACAUACUACAUUGCUCGGGACUGGGAGAGGUACGAGGUACUCAGGGGGUACGAGUGAAAUCAUGUAAUCCUUUGGGGACCACCGGUGACAAAUGCGUCCUACCAUAACAAGUCUUACGAUGAGGGACUAAAGCUAAGGGCUCGAACCGGAUUAGAUACCCGGGUAGUCGUAACCGUAAUUGAUGCUCCCUAGGUGUCACAUGAUUUUUAAAUUGCUGUACUGCCAUAUGUAAACCGUGAAACUAGACGUUUGCUAAUUACCAUUGCCGGGUUUAAACUUAUUUGACUUGUGGUGCAACCAC
This 556-nucleotide ribosomal RNA is filed under the name uncultured archaeon. Its description in RNAcentral is "bacterial SSU rRNA". It matches the Rfam family "Archaeal small subunit ribosomal RNA", at positions 326 to 879 of the family's 1478-position model. The record is from RNAcentral.